Molecule: transfer RNA, 85 nt
Organism: Felis catus (domestic cat)
Lineage: Eukaryota; Metazoa; Chordata; Mammalia; Carnivora; Felidae
Rfam family: tRNA
About the family: Transfer RNA (tRNA) molecules are approximately 80 nucleotides in length. Their secondary structure includes four short double-helical elements and three loops (D, anti-codon, and T loops).
Source: Rfam
GCCUGGGUGGCUCAGUCGGUUAAGCGACCGACUUCGACUCAGGUCAUGAUCUCACGGUUCGUGGGUUCGAGCCCCAUGUCAGGCU